Molecule: ribosomal RNA, 465 nt
Filed under: uncultured bacterium
Lineage: Bacteria
Description: bacterial SSU rRNA
Rfam family: Bacterial small subunit ribosomal RNA
Source: RNAcentral
CCUANGGGCGGCAGCAGUGGGGAAUUUUGGACAAUGGGCGAAAGCCUGAUCCAGCAAUGCCGCGUGCAGGAUGAAGGCCUUCGGGUUGUAAACUGCUUUUGUACGGAACGAAACGGUCUGCCCUAAUACGGUGGGCUAAUGACGGUACCGUAAGAAUAAGCACCGGCUAACUACGUGCCAGCAGCCGCGGUAAUACGUAGGGUGCGAGCGUUAAUCGGAAUUACUGGGCGUAAAGCGUGCGCAGGCGGUUAUAUAAGACAGAUGUGAAAUCCCCGGGCUCAACCUGGGACCUGCAUUUGUGACUGUAUAGCUAGAGUACGGUAGAGGGGGAUGGAAUUCCGCGUGUAGCAGUGAAAUGCGUAGAUAUGCGGAGGAACACCGAUGGCGAAGGCAAUCCCCUGGACCUGUACUGACGCUCAUGCACGAAAGCGUGGGGAGCAAACAGGAUUAGAUACCCGGNUANUC